UACGAACUGUGCAAACGUUAUUCGGAAUCACUGGGCUUAAAGGGUGCGUAGGCGGCUGUCUAAGCAGGGUGUGAAAGCCCCCGGCUCAACCGGGGAAUUGCGUUCUGAACUGGACGGCUGGAGUGGGAUAGGGGUGUGUGGAACUUCCGGUGGAGCGGUGAAAUGUGUUGAUAUCGGAAGAACACCAGUGGCGAAGGCGACUUACUGGACACAUAUUGACGCUGAGGUGCGAAAGCGUGGGGAGCAAACAGG
Molecule: ribosomal RNA, 252 nt
Filed under: uncultured bacterium
Lineage: Bacteria
Description: partial 16S ribosomal RNA
Rfam family: Bacterial small subunit ribosomal RNA
Source: RNAcentral